This 91-nucleotide transfer RNA is filed under the name Nitrososphaerota archaeon. RNAcentral's name for it is "Thaumarchaeota archaeon (marine metagenome) tRNA-Ile". It matches the Rfam family "tRNA". Rfam says of the family: Transfer RNA (tRNA) molecules are approximately 80 nucleotides in length. Their secondary structure includes four short double-helical elements and three loops (D, anti-codon, and T loops). The record is from RNAcentral. Lineage: Archaea; Thermoproteati; Nitrososphaerota.
GGGCCAUUAGCUCAGCUUGGUUAGAGUAUAACACGGCAAAAGCGUUCGACUGAUAAUCGAAAGGNCGAGAGUUCAAAUCUCCCAUGGCCCA